Long non-coding RNA from Manduca sexta (tobacco hornworm), 461 nucleotides. RefSeq lists it as uncharacterized. The record is from RefSeq and is a predicted model, not a curated record. The transcript is spliced from 3 exons. Lineage: Eukaryota; Metazoa; Arthropoda; Insecta; Lepidoptera; Sphingidae.
AAAUAAAAGCGUUGGCAACACCGCACUUGACAGCUUUUUGUAUUGAUAAAAAUCUAUGCCUUCAAGCUUUCAAUCCAAUUUCAAUCAUAGAUUUCAAUCUUUACUAUUCGUUUAGUUUGGAAAUUCAUUUUAUGAAAGAAAAGAGAUAUUUUUAUGAUAAUGGUUAAAUUUAAAUACUGUGCGGCGUGUUUAGUGACUGAUGUGAAAAUGUAUUGUUUAUCUGAAAAGUUUUCGAGCAAUCCUAUAAUUACACUGGGAGAUAUUUAUUCGCAACUACUUCAAAUCAAUAAUAUCAACAAAACUCAGCAUGUGUGCUUUGAAUGUACAAGACUUUUAUAUAAGUACCAUGAGUUCAAAUCCAAAUGUCAUAAGGCUCAAUCUUUAAUGUCUUUGGUGGCUGGAGCUGAUGACUCUGAAAUUAAAAAUGUCGUAAUUCAAAACAUUGAUAGAGUUUUUUACAA